UACGUAGGGUGCAAGCGUUGUCCGGAAUUAUUGGGCGUAAAGAGCUCGUAGGCGGUUUGUCGCGUCUGGUGUGAAAAUCCAGGGCUUAACCCUGGACCUGCAUCGGGUACGGGCAGACUAGAGUGCGGUAGGGGAGAUCGGAAUUCCUGGUGUAACGGUGAAAUGCGCAGAUAUCAGGAGGAACACCGGUGGCGAAGGCGGAUCUCUGGGCCGUAACUGACGCUGAGGAGCGAAAGCAUGGGGAGCGAACAGG
Molecule: ribosomal RNA, 253 nt
Filed under: uncultured bacterium
Lineage: Bacteria
Description: partial 16S ribosomal RNA
Rfam family: Bacterial small subunit ribosomal RNA
Source: RNAcentral